AGAGUUUGAUCCUGGCUCAGGACGAACGCUGGCGGCGUGCUUAACACAUGCAAGUCGAACGAGACGAUUGAAAGCUUGCUUUUGAAAGUCGAGUGGCAAACGGGUGAGUAACGCGUAGACAACCUGCCGUAAAGAUGGGGACAACAGUCCGAAAGGACUGCUAAUACCGAAUGUUGUAAAUCUUCCACAUGGAAGACUUACUAAAGGUGGCCUCUACUUGUAAGCUAUCGCUUUACGAUGGGUCUGCGUCUGAUUAGCUGGUUGGUGGGGUAACGGCCUACCAAGGCGACGAUCAGUAGCCGGUCUGAGAGGAUGAACGGCCACAUUGGAACUGAGACACGGUCCAGACUCCUACGGGAGGCAGCAGUGGGGAAUCUUCCGCAAUGGGCGCAAGCCUGACGGAGCAACGCCGCGUGAGUGAAGAAGGGUUUCGACUCGUAAAGCUCUGUUGUCGGGGACGAACGUGGAGACGGCGAAUAGCCGUUUCCAAUGACGGUACCUGACGAGGAAGCCACGGCUAACUACGUGCCAGCAGCCGCGGUAAUACGUAGGUGGCGAGCGUUGUCCGGAAUUAUUGGGCGUAAAGGGAGCGCAGGCGGGAAGGUAAGUCUAUCUUAAAAGUGCGGGGCUCAACCCCGUGAGGGGAUGGAAACUAUCUUUCUUGAGUGCAGGAGAGGAAAGCGGAAUUCCUAGUGUAGCGGUGAAAUGCGUAGAUAUUAGGAGGAACACCAGUGGCGAAGGCGGCUUUCUGGACUGUAACUGACGCUGAGGCUCGAAAGCGUGGGGAGCGAACAGGAUUAGAUACCCUGGUAGUCCACGCCGUAAACGAUGAAUGCUAGGUGUAGGAGGUAUCGACCCCUUCUGUGCCGGAGUUAACGCAAUAAGCAUUCCGCCUGGGGAGUAGGGCCGCAAGGCUGAAACUCAAAGGAAUUGACGGGGGCCCGCACAAGCGGUGGAGUAUGUGGUUUAAUUCGACGCAACGCGAAGAACCUUACCAGGGCUUGACAUUGAGUGAAAGGACAAGGGAUUGUCCCCUCUCUUCGGAGACACGAAAACAGGCGGUGCAAGGCUGUCGUCAGCUCGUGUCGUGAGAUGUUGGGUUAAGUCCCGCAACGAGCGCAACCCCUAUCCUUUGUUGCCAGCACGCAAUGGUGGGAACUCAAAGGAGACUGCCGCGGACAACGC
This 1185-nucleotide ribosomal RNA is filed under the name metagenome. Its description in RNAcentral is "bacterial SSU rRNA". It matches the Rfam family "Bacterial small subunit ribosomal RNA", at positions 8 to 1164 of the family's 1533-position model. The record is from RNAcentral.